AGCCAGGAGGUUGGCUUAGAAGCAGCCACCCUUUAAAGAGUGCGUAACAGCUCACUGGUCAAACGCUCUUGCGCGGAAAAUUCAACGGGGCUUAAACACACCACCGAAGCUACGGACCCGAAAGGGUGGUAGGAGAGCGUUCUGUAGGAGAUACAAGGUCGACCGAAAGGACGGCUGCGGCCUACAGAAGUGAGAAUGCCGGCAUGAGUAGCGCAAAACAUGUGAGAACCAUGUUCCCCGUAAACCUAAGGUUUCCGACGGAAGGUCAGUCCGCGUCGGCUUAGUCGGGCCUUAGCCGAGGCCGAAAGGCGUAGGCGAUGGACAUCCGGUUAAUAUUCCGGAACCACUCAAGUGGAGCGAUGAAGGGACGCGGCGUGGUAGGUCAGCCUCUUAACGGAUUGAGGUGCCAAACGCGUAGGACGUUGAAGGGUGUAGGUAAGUCCGCACCCCGAGUCCGAAACGUGAUGGCGGUGCCUUAGAGCCACAAGUGAUUGAGCCAUGCCGCCUAGAAAAGCUUCUAAGCGUUGAUAUUUGAGUGACCGUACCGCAAACCGACACUGGUAGGUGGGUAGAAUAUACCAAGGGGAGCGAGAGAACCCUCGUUAAGGAAUUAGGCAAAUUUCCCCCGUACGUUCGCAAUAAGGGGGGCCUCUGGUGGUGAGCUUAAUCGCAAAGCUGCUGGAGGCCGCAGAGAAAUGGCUCUUCCAACUGUUUAACAAAAACACAAGUCUCUGCUAAGUCGAAAGACGAAGUAUAGGGGCUGACGCCUGCCCAGUGCUGGAAGGUUAAGGGGAGAGGUUAGGCGCAAGCCGAAGCUUUGAGCCGAAGCCCCAGUGAACGGCGGCCGUAACCAUAACGGUCCUAAGGUAGCGAAAUUCCUUGUCGGGUAAGUUCCGACCCGCACGAAUGGCGUAAUGAGAGGAGCACUGUCUCAACGAGGGACUCGGCGAACAUUGAAGGACGUGUGAAGAUACACGUGACCCGCAGCGGGACAAAAAGACCCCGUGAAGCUUUACUACAACUUGCCAUUGAGUUAGGGCUAAACCUGUGUAGUAUAGGUGGGAGGCUUUGAAGCUGGGACGCCAGUCUCGGUGGAGCCACCGUUGAAAUACCACCCUGGUUUAUUCUUGGCUCUAACCUGUCGCCGUUAUCCGGCAUGGGAACAGUGGCUGGUGGGUAGUUUGACUGGGGCGGUCGCCUCCGAAAGCGUAACAGAGGCGCCCAAAGGUUCCCUCAGGCUGAAUGGAAACCAGCCGUUGAGUGUAAAGGCACAAGGGAGCUUGACUGCAAGACCAACAAGUCGCGCAGGGACGAAAGUCGGGCUUAGUGAUCCCACGGUUCAGAGUGGAAUGGCCGUGGCUUACCGGAUAAAAGCUACUCCGGGGAUAACAGGGUAGUCUGGUCCAAGAGUUCAUAUCGACGACCAGGUUCGCCACCUCGAUGUCGGCUCAUCACAUCCUGGGGCU
This 1466-nucleotide ribosomal RNA is filed under the name metagenome. Its description in RNAcentral is "bacterial LSU rRNA". It matches the Rfam family "Bacterial large subunit ribosomal RNA", at positions 1091 to 2554 of the family's 2925-position model. The record is from RNAcentral.